GUUUCUGUAGUGUAGUGGUUAUCACGUUCGCCUAACACGCGAAAGGUCCCCGGGUCGAGACCGGGCAGAAACA
This 73-nucleotide transfer RNA is filed under the name Fulmarus glacialis (Northern fulmar). It matches the Rfam family "tRNA". From Rfam's summary of the family: Transfer RNA (tRNA) molecules are approximately 80 nucleotides in length. The record is from Rfam by way of RNAcentral. Lineage: Eukaryota; Metazoa; Chordata; Aves; Procellariiformes; Procellariidae.